This 483-nucleotide ribosomal RNA is filed under the name uncultured bacterium. RNAcentral's name for it is "partial 16S ribosomal RNA". It matches the Rfam family "Bacterial small subunit ribosomal RNA", at positions 28 to 523 of the family's 1533-position model. The record is from RNAcentral.
GAUGAACGCUGGCGGCGUGCCUAAUACAUGCAAGUCGAGCGAACCACUUCGGUGGUGAGCGGCGAACGGGUGAGUAACACGUAGGUGAUCUGCCCAUCAGACGGGGACAACGAUUGGAAACGAUCGCUAAUACCGGAUAGGACGAAAGUUUAAAGGUGCUUCUGGCACCGCUGAUGGAUGAGCCUGCGGCGCAUUAGCUAGUUGGGAGGGUAAAGGCCUACCAAGGCGACGAUGCGUAGCCGACCUGAGAGGGUGAACGGCCACACUGGGACUGAGACACGGCCCAGACUCCUACGGGAGGCAGAAGUAGGGAAUCUUCGGCAAUGGGCGAAAGCUUGACCGAGCAACGCCGCGUGAAUGAUGAAGGCCUUCGGGUUGUAAAAUUCUGUUAUAAGGGAAGAACGACUUUAGUAGGAAAUGGCUAGAGUGUGACGGUACCUUAUGAGAAAGCCACGGCUAACUACGUGCCAGCCGCCGCCGUAA